GCCCACGGUGGCUCAGAUGGAUAGAACGUCUGCCAUGUAAGCAGAAGAUCCCGGGUUCGAGUCCCGGUCGGGGCA
This 75-nucleotide transfer RNA is filed under the name Schistocerca americana (American grasshopper). RNAcentral's name for it is "tRNA-Thr". It matches the Rfam family "tRNA". Rfam says of the family: Transfer RNA (tRNA) molecules are approximately 80 nucleotides in length. The record is from RNAcentral. Lineage: Eukaryota; Metazoa; Arthropoda; Insecta; Orthoptera; Acrididae.